CCCUGCAUUCGAAAGUGAUCAUGGGCUGCCCGUGCCCAGGUCAUUGGUAGUGCAGAGAGAGGAAUCACUGAAAACAUUUCCCCAUGUUUGGAGGGUCCAUUCCUGUCUCUUCCAAACCCUGGGACUUUCCCACA
Microcebus murinus (gray mouse lemur) is the source of this 134-nucleotide small nucleolar RNA. Its record names the gene SNORA71. It matches the Rfam family "Small nucleolar RNA SNORA71". Rfam says of the family: The members of this family belong to the H/ACA class of snoRNAs which bind a number of proteins (including dyskerin, Gar1p and Nop10p) to form snoRNP complexes. NCBI's taxonomy places the organism in Eukaryota, Metazoa, Chordata, Mammalia, Primates, Cheirogaleidae. The record is from Ensembl.